Molecule: ribosomal RNA, 569 nt
Filed under: uncultured bacterium
Lineage: Bacteria
Description: bacterial SSU rRNA
Rfam family: Bacterial small subunit ribosomal RNA
Source: RNAcentral
ACGGGUGAGUAACACGUAAGGAACCUGCCUCAAGGAUUGGGAUAACUCCGAGAAAUCGGAGCUAAUACCGGAUAGUUCAACGGACCGCAUGGUCCGCUGAUGAAAGGCGCUCCGGCGUCACCUUGAGAUGGCCUUGCGGUGCAUUAGCUAGUUGGUGGGGUAACGGCCCACCAAGGCGACGAUGCAUAGCCGACCUGAGAGGGUGAUCGGCCACACUGGGACUGAGACACGGCCCAGACUCCUACGGGAGGCAGCAGUAGGGAAUCUUCCACAAUGGACGAAAGUCUGAUGGAGCAACGCCGCGUGAGUGAUGAAGGUUUUCGGAUCGUAAAACUCUGUUGUAAGGGAAGAACACGUACGAGAGGGAAUGCUCGUACCUUGACGGUACCUUACGAGAAAGCCACGGCUAACUACGUGCCAGCAGCCGCGGUAAUACGUAGGUGGCAAGCGUUGUCCGGAAUUAUUGGGCGUAAAGCGCGCGCAGGCGGCCUUUUAAGUCUGAUGUGAAAGCCCCCGGCUCAACCGGGGAGGGCCAUUGGAAACUGGAAGGCUUGAGUACAGAAGAGAAG